Molecule: ribosomal RNA, 492 nt
Filed under: uncultured bacterium
Lineage: Bacteria
Description: partial 16S ribosomal RNA
Rfam family: Bacterial small subunit ribosomal RNA
Source: RNAcentral
AGUGAACGCUGGCGGUAGGCCUAACACAUGCAAGUCGAACGGCAGCACAGUAAGAGCUUGCUCUUACGGGUGGCGAGUGGCGGACGGGUGAGGAAUACAUCGGAAUCUACUUUUUCGUGGGGGAUAACGUAGGGAAACUUACGCUAAUACCGCAUACGACCUACGGGUGAAGGCAGGGGAUCUUCGGACCUUGCGCGAUUGAAUGAGCCGAUGUCGGAUUAGCUAGUUGGCGGGGUAAAGGCCCACUAAGGCGACGAUCCGUAGCUGGUCUGAGAGGAUGAUCAGCCACACUGGAACUGAGACACGGUCCAGACUCCUACGGGAGGCAGCAGUGGGGAAUAUUGGACAAUGGGCGCAAGCCUGAUCCAGCCAUACCGCGUGGGUGAAGAAGGCCUUCGGGUUGUAAAGCCCUUUUGUUGGGAAAGAAAAGCAGCAGGUUAAUACCCCGCUGUUCUGACGGUACCCAAAGAAUAAGCACCGGCUAACUUCGUG